RNAcentral lists this ribosomal RNA (497 nucleotides) under uncultured bacterium. Its description in RNAcentral is "partial 16S ribosomal RNA". It matches the Rfam family "Bacterial small subunit ribosomal RNA", at positions 28 to 507 of the family's 1533-position model. The record is from RNAcentral.
GAUGAACGCUGGCGGCGUGCCUAAUACAUGCAAGUCGAGCGAACAGACGAGGAGCUUGCUCCUUUGACGUUAGCGGCGGACGGGUGAGUAACACGUAGGUAACCUACCUAUAAGACUGGGAUAACUUCGGGAAACCGGAGCUAAUACCGGAUAAUAUUUCGAACCGCAUGGUUCGAUGGUGAAAGAUGGCUUUGCUAUCACUUAUAGAUGGACCUGCGCCGUAUUAGCUAGUUGGUAAGGUAACGGCUUACCAAGGCAACGAUACGUAGCCGACCUGAGAGGGUGAUCGGCCACACUGGAACUGAGACACGGUCCAGACUCCUACGGGAGGCAGCAGUAGGGAAUCUUCCGCAAUGGGCGAAAGCCUGACGGAGCAACGCCGCGUGAGUGAUGAAGGUCUUCGGAUCGUAAAACUCUGUUAUUAGGGAAGAACAAACGUGUAAGUAACUGUGCACGUCUUGACGGUACCUAAUCAGAAAGCCACGGCUAACUACGUG